CAGCUUGUUUGGAACACAUGGAGUGGAGGAUGGAUAAUUUCCCAAAGAAGAGACAGCAGUCAGAUAAAAACAACAGGAGCAUUACAUCAAAUGUUUGGGUUUAAAAAAUUUUGGGAUGAGAAGAGGCUGAAUGUUCCUGGCUCCUGGGGCAUGGGACUGUGUCAUUCCCUUCAGCUGACAACUGUGAAAAGAAGGCCAUUCGAACCCGUUCUGGCGUUGCUGGGCUCUGCACCGUGAAGUCCUCAGCUAUGUCUCUUUCUCUUCGCACUGUGGCCACAGCGUCAGCAAUGGCAAAGAACACAGAUGACCCCAGGAACAUCCCAGACUCCCCGAGGCCCUGUAAGAAGGCACAUUGGUUUAAGAAACUUCUAUACCACACUACAAGUUUCUAGAGGGUAGGGACCAGGCCUUGUUCACCAUUGUAUCCCCAACCCCUGCACAGUGUUUUGUACACAAAAUCUUCUCAAUAAAUGUUUGUUGGCUGACUUA
Long non-coding RNA from Mandrillus leucophaeus (drill), 489 nucleotides. RefSeq lists it as uncharacterized. The record is from RefSeq and is a predicted model, not a curated record. NCBI's taxonomy places the organism in Eukaryota, Metazoa, Chordata, Mammalia, Primates, Cercopithecidae. The transcript is spliced from 3 exons.